RNAcentral lists this ribosomal RNA (578 nucleotides) under Microbispora sp. SBP4S1. RNAcentral describes it as "bacterial SSU rRNA". It matches the Rfam family "Bacterial small subunit ribosomal RNA", at positions 104 to 699 of the family's 1533-position model. Lineage: Bacteria; Bacillati; Actinomycetota; Actinomycetes; Streptosporangiales; Streptosporangiaceae. The record is from RNAcentral.
GGGUGAGUAACACGUGAGUAACCUGCCCCUGACUCUGGGAUAAGCCUGGGAAACUGGGUCUAAUACCGGAUACGACCAUUUCUCGCAUGGGAUGGUGGUGGAAAGUUUUUUCGGUUGGGGAUGGGCUCGCGGCCUAUCAGCUUGUUGGUGGGGUGAUGGCCUACCAAGGCGACGACGGGUAGCCGGCCUGAGAGGGCGACCGGCCACACUGGGACUGAGACACGGCCCAGACUCCUACGGGAGGCAGCAGUGGGGAAUAUUGCGCAAUGGGCGGAAGCCUGACGCAGCGACGCCGCGUGGGGGAUGACGGCCUUCGGGUUGUAAACCUCUUUCAGCAGGGACGAAGUUGACGUGUACCUGUAGAAGAAGCGCCGGCUAACUACGUGCCAGCAGCCGCGGUAAUACGUAGGGCGCAAGCGUUGUCCGGAAUUAUUGGGCGUAAAGAGCUCGUAGGUGGCUUGUCGCGUCUGCCGUGAAAGCCCGUGGCUUAACUACGGGUCUGCGGUGGAUACGGGCAGGCUAGAGGCUGGUAGGGGCAAGCGGAAUUCCUGGUGUAGCGGUGAAAUGCGCAGAUAUCA